RNAcentral lists this ribosomal RNA (303 nucleotides) under uncultured bacterium. RNAcentral describes it as "partial 16S ribosomal RNA". It matches the Rfam family "Bacterial small subunit ribosomal RNA", at positions 507 to 807 of the family's 1533-position model. The record is from RNAcentral.
AGCAGUCGCCGCGGGAAUACGGAGGGUGCAAGCGUUGUCCGGAUUUAUUGGGUUUAAAGGGUGCGUAGGCGGCCUAAUAAGUCAGUGGUGAAAGCCUCCAGCUUAACUGGAGAACUGCCAUUGAUACUGUUGGGCUUGAGUAUACCUGAGGUAGGCGGAAUUGACAGUGUAGCGGUGAAAUGCAUAGAUAUUGUCAAGAACACCAAUUGCGAAGGCAGCUUACUAAAUUAUAACUGACGCUGAGGCACGAAAGUGUGGGUAUCAAACAGGAUUAGAGACCCCCGUAGUCCCUGUCUCUUAUAC